GACAGAGUCUAUAAUGGAUUGGCUGACCACGAUCCAGAGUCAGUAAUGAGGCUGGCACCCUUGACCCUACGACUAAGUCAUCAGAGCACCAGGUUUCAGGCCCAGUGCCUACAGGUAUAGAAGAGAAGAGAAAGCAAGCAAGGUAUGGGGUGGGGAAGGGCAUUGCAAAGGGUGGGGCAGUGAAACCGCAGGGAAGCCCAC
This 201-nucleotide long non-coding RNA is filed under the name Rattus norvegicus (Norway rat). Its description in RNAcentral is "long non-coding RNA NONRATT032907". Lineage: Eukaryota; Metazoa; Chordata; Mammalia; Rodentia; Muridae. The record is from RNAcentral.